This 800-nucleotide ribosomal RNA is filed under the name uncultured metazoan. RNAcentral's name for it is "bacterial SSU rRNA". It matches the Rfam family "Eukaryotic small subunit ribosomal RNA", at positions 47 to 855 of the family's 1831-position model. The record is from RNAcentral. Lineage: Eukaryota; Metazoa.
AGCCAUGCAUGUCUAAGUACAAGCCUCAGUAAGGUGAAACCGCGAAUGGCUCAUUAAAUCACACCUAAUCUACUGGAAAGUUACAAGUUACUUGGAUAACUGAGGUAAUUCUUGAGCUAAUACAUGCGAAAAAUCUCGACUCACGGAGAGAUGCUUUUAUUAGAUCAAAACCAAACGGCUUCGGCCGUCUCAUUGGUGACUCUGAAUAACUUUGGGCUGAUCGUAUGGCCUUGUGCCGACGACGUUUCCUUCGAAGGUGUGCCCUAUCAACUGUCGACUGUGAUAUAGACGCUCACAGUGGUUUUGACGGGUAACGGGGAAUCAGGGUUCGAUUCCGGAGAGGGAGCCUUAAAAACGGCUACCACAUCCAAGGAAGGCAGCAGGCACGCAAAUUACCCAAUGAACGAAGUUCGAGGUAGUGACGAAAAAUAACGAUACAGGACUCAUCCGAGGCCCUGUAAUUGGAAUGAGUACACUUUAAAACCGUUCCCGAGGAUCUAUUGGAGGGCAAGUCUGGUGCCAGCAGCCGCGGUAAUUCCAGCUCCAAUAGCGUAUAUUAAAGUUGUUGUGGUUAAAAAGCUCGUAGUUGGACUUCUGGGUCGGCCUGAUGGUCCGCCGCAAGGCGAGCACUGUUGGGUUGGCCCUUCCUCUCGAAGGCUGCGGGUGCUCUUCACUGGGUGCUCGUAGAACUCGGGAUCUUUACUUUGAAAAAAUUAGAGUGUUCAAAGCAGGCUUACGCUUGAAUACAUUAGCAUGGAAUAAUGGAAUAGGACUUUGGUUCUAUUUUGUUGGUUUCUAGA